CACCCAGGCGCCCCUAUAUAUAUAUAUUUUUAACACGUUUCUUAACCUCAGAAUUGCUCUGAAAAUCCACAGCAUAGUUUAAAGAGCCUUCGUUUGGCCAGACAGAGAGUGUUUAUAGGUUUGGCUUAUCUCUCCUUGAAAAACUUCUGAAAUAGGUUGUGGAAUCCUGUUUCAUGUGAUAAAUGAAGCCCUGUCAGGGGAAGCAGCCAUUUUCUGCCCAAUGUUGAGAUUGAAAUCAACAGAUUUAAAAGUAAUUUGGCAUGGCGUGAAUGCAGAGCCGGGACCUCAGAGCUAUUUAACUGGAUACGGAAGCAUUUUGUUUUGUUCUUUACAGGUCGUACUUUGGUUACUCUGCAGGUAAUUAAGAUGCUUUCUUCUUCACAAGACUGCCUUUACUGCCGGAUCCUGUGUCGUGGUGAGCACCAGGAGGCCAGGGCAGUCAUGAGAGUAACGGGCAGGUGCAGGGAGGUGCGUGCCUCUCGGGCUGGCUUGUCUGGCUUCUUAUCUUUAGGUACAUCCAAUUAGCUUCUUCCUUGAGCCGUCUCCUUCCAACGGAACUGAGCAAGUGAAAUUGGGAGCUGGCGUCCAGCUGGUCUAGUCUUGUAUUCUUCCAGUAUUUGCCCAGCACUUCUUUAGAAAACAUCAUGGAAGAGCAGAGAUGAAGAAGAGCCAUGCUUGCCCCCAACUUGCCUGCGCCCCUCAGCCAAGCAGGUGCUGGGGCUGAACUGGGCACUGCCCUCCCCGGAAAGCCUGUCCCAGGCCUCCUGGGCCCAAGCAAACAGUAGUCGCCUUCCUGAAAUGAGUUCCGGUUAGUACAGCAUUCCCCCUCACCCCUUUAAAAUGGUGGUAAAACACACAUAACAGAAAUGGUUACUGUCCUAAUCAUUUUAAGUGUACAGUUCAGUACACGUCGUGUAAGCAGAUUCACACUCUCGUGUCACCGUCAUCACCAUCCGGCUCCAGCUUUGGUUUCUUCUCCUGAAUGAAGCUCUAACCCAUUAAACACUAACUGUGCUUCCUUCCUCCCCGCAGCCCCUGGUAAUCUUGGUUCUGCUUCCGGUUUCUGGGGGUUUACGUAGAAGGAGAAGCCUACGUAUGGCUGACUCAUAGCCCAUUGUGUGUAUGUACCACAGUUUAUCUACUCAUCCAUCGAUGGACGCUUGGGUGGUUUCCACCUUUUGGCCAUUGUGAGAACGCUUCUGAACUGUCUCUUCUCCCGUUUUGCCUGAAGUUAGUUAGCUUGCACGGCCACACAGACUUAGAAGUUGCGCGAUUUUCUGUUCUUGCGUCCAUGUGACUUGCGUCAGCGGUGGGAGCUUGACCACCCACCAUCGGUCGGCGCCCGACUCCAUCUAAGGGUGGCUGGCCUGUGUGCAUCUCUGCUCGUGUUCACGGAGGGUCUGCUCGUCGCUUGUCUGAGGGAGGC
This is a long non-coding RNA of Neomonachus schauinslandi (Hawaiian monk seal), 1426 nucleotides long. RefSeq lists it as uncharacterized. The record is from RefSeq and is a predicted model, not a curated record. NCBI's taxonomy places the organism in Eukaryota, Metazoa, Chordata, Mammalia, Carnivora, Phocidae. The transcript has 3 exons.